Branchiostoma floridae (Florida lancelet) is the source of this 94-nucleotide non-coding RNA. NCBI's taxonomy places the organism in Eukaryota, Metazoa, Chordata, Leptocardii, Amphioxiformes, Branchiostomatidae. The record is from Rfam.
GUUUACCCAUGUGUGGAUGGUGUUCAGCACCAGGGGCAGGCAUACUUACCUGUUUGUGGAUGGUGUUCAGCACCAGGGACAGGCAUGUUUACCU